UCAACUUAAGAGUUUGAUCCUGGCUCAGAACGAACGCUGGCGGCAGGCCUAACACAUGCAAGUCGAACGAUAAGCCACCUUCGGGUGGUGGACAGUGGCAGACGGGUGAGUAACGC
RNAcentral lists this ribosomal RNA (116 nucleotides) under Hyphomicrobiales bacterium. Its description in RNAcentral is "partial 16S ribosomal RNA". It matches the Rfam family "Bacterial small subunit ribosomal RNA", at positions 1 to 116 of the family's 1533-position model. The record is from RNAcentral. Lineage: Bacteria; Pseudomonadati; Pseudomonadota; Alphaproteobacteria; Hyphomicrobiales.